RNAcentral lists this unclassified non-coding RNA (329 nucleotides) under soil metagenome. RNAcentral describes it as "partial contains 5.8S ribosomal RNA, internal transcribed spacer 2, and large subunit ribosomal RNA". The stretch from base 1 to 120 matches the Rfam family "5.8S ribosomal RNA", at positions 35 to 154 of the family's 154-position model. The record is from RNAcentral.
GAUGAAGAACGUAGCGAAAUGCGAUAAGUAAUGUGAAUUGCAGAAUUCAGUGAAUCAUCGAGUUUUUGAACGCACAUUGCGCCCUCUGGUAUUCCGGGGGGCAUGCCUGUUCGAGCGUCAUUAUAACCACUCAAGCUCUCGCUUGGUAUUGGGGUUCGCGGUUCCGCGGCCCCUAAAAUCAGUGGCGGUGCCUGUCGGCUCUACGCGUAGUAAUACUCCUCGCGUCUGGGUCCGGUAGGUCUACUUGCCAGCAACCCCCAAUUUUUACAGGUUGACCUCGGAUCAGGUAGGGAUACCCGCUGAACUUAAGCAUAUCAAUAAGCGGAGGA